CAAACAGUGAAAGGUGAAGAAACUUUCAUGGAAAUCGGUUUGAAUAUAUUUAGUUAGAGGGGGGAUAAUGUCGCUAUUGAAAGCAAAAGGAGCAGAAAGGAUUAAGCCCUUGUCGACCACGGGCAGGGGUUUCCAGUACCUGGUUGACUGGGAGGGUUAUGGCCCGGAGGAGAGGUGCUGGGUUCCGGCUAAAGACAUCCUGGACCAGGCCCUCAUCGCCAACUGUCACCGCCGGCACCCUGGUCAACCAGUCCUCCUGGUUUGGACCUUUUGCCUGCCCUGACACUAAGC
Salvelinus sp. IW2-2015 is the source of this 291-nucleotide non-coding RNA. Lineage: Eukaryota; Metazoa; Chordata; Actinopteri; Salmoniformes; Salmonidae. The record is from RefSeq and is a predicted model, not a curated record.